UACGUAGGGAGCAAGCGUUGUCCGGAUUUAUUGGGCGUAAAGAGCUCGUAGGCGGUUCCGUAAGUCAGGGGUGAAAAAUCUGGGCUCAACCCAGUGGAGCACCUGAUACUGCGGUGACUCGAGUCCGGUAGGGGAGUGUGGAAUUCCUGGUGUAGCGGUGAAAUGCGCAGAUAUCAGGAGGAACACCGACGGCGAAGGCAGCACUCUGGGCCGGUACUGACGCUGAGGAGCGAAAGCAUGGGGAGCGAACAGG
RNAcentral lists this ribosomal RNA (253 nucleotides) under uncultured bacterium. Its description in RNAcentral is "partial 16S ribosomal RNA". It matches the Rfam family "Bacterial small subunit ribosomal RNA", at positions 524 to 776 of the family's 1533-position model. The record is from RNAcentral.